CCUGGCUCAGGAUGAACGCUAGCUACAGGCUUAACACAUGCAAGUCGAGGGGCAGCAUGGGAUUAGCUUGCUAAUCCUGAUGGCGACCGGCGCACGGGUGAGUAACGCGUAUCCAACCUGCCCCGCAACCGCGGAAUAGCCCGCCGAAAGGCGGAUUAAUGCCGCAUGAGCUCGCGUGGGGGCAUCUGCCCGCGAGCAAAGGUUCACUCCGGUUGCGGAUGGGGAUGCGUCCGAUUAGGCAGCAGGCGGGGCAACGGCCCACCUGGCCUACGAUCGGUAGGGGUUCUGAGAGGAAGGUCCCCCACAUUGGAACUGAGACACGGUCCAAACUCCUACGGGAGGCAGCAGUGAGGAAUAUUGGUCAAUGGGCGAUGGCCUGAACCAGCCAAGUAGCGUGCGGGACGACGGCCCUAUGGGUUGUAAACCGCUUUUGCAGGGGAAUAAAGUGUCCUACGCGUAGGAUUUUGUAUGUACCCUGAGAAUAAGGACCGGCUAAUUCCGUGCC
This 505-nucleotide ribosomal RNA is filed under the name uncultured organism. RNAcentral's name for it is "SSU rRNA". It matches the Rfam family "Bacterial small subunit ribosomal RNA", at positions 18 to 509 of the family's 1533-position model. The record is from RNAcentral.